This 254-nucleotide ribosomal RNA is filed under the name uncultured bacterium. RNAcentral's name for it is "partial 16S ribosomal RNA". It matches the Rfam family "Bacterial small subunit ribosomal RNA", at positions 524 to 776 of the family's 1533-position model. The record is from RNAcentral.
GACGGGGGGAUGCAAGUGUUAUCCGGAAUCACUGGGCGUAAAGCGUCUGCAGGUGGUUUCCUAAGUCCACUGUUAAACCUUGAGGCUCAACCUCAAAUCUGUAUUGGAAACUAGGAGACUUGAGUAUAGUAGGGGUAGAGGGAAUUUCCAGUGGAGCGGUGAAAUGCGUAGAUAUUGGAAAGAACACCGAUGGCGAAGGCACUCUACUGGGCUAUUACUGACACUCAGAGACGAAAGCUAGGGGAGCAAAUGGG